GACGGCGACUGAUUGAUGGAUUUGACCUUUUUUGCUGCGUUCCAUCCUAAAGAAUACUUUCAUAUUAAAAUUUUUAGAUAAAUAAAUUGUAUAGCAGAUUUCUGUUCUUUUUCACAGGCACUGUGCAAAAAACACAAGCCAAGACACAGGCAUGUAAUCUGAGUGACAUUUUAGCAAUCAAAUAACAUCCUGUUGGAAUGCAAGAGUAACUCUGGAUAAGAACACUGGAAAACAUCAGAACUGAAGAAGACAGUCCAUGUGAACUGUUUGCAUGGAUAAUAAGCAUCAGAGGUGGUCUGAGAAGGCAGUAGCUAUGACUGUAGACGAGGACUACAUGAUCCCUCACCGGCAUCUCACCUCCUGGAAAUGCCAGGACUUAAACCACUAAAUCUUUGCAGAGG
This is a long non-coding RNA of Acanthochromis polyacanthus (spiny chromis), 401 nucleotides long. RefSeq lists it as uncharacterized. NCBI's taxonomy places the organism in Eukaryota, Metazoa, Chordata, Actinopteri, Pomacentridae. The transcript is spliced from 3 exons. The record is from RefSeq and is a predicted model, not a curated record.